GGCCGUGCCGGGGGAGCGGGAGCGGCCGGGCAGGUGCGGCUGCGAUGGCGCCGAGCGCGGCGGGGACAGAGUUGGCGAAGUCGGAGUGGGAGCGCUUCCACUACGAUUACGAGUCCCUGCGCCUCGGGGUCUCAUCGUGGCCGGGAUCUUCUUCGUGCUCGGGGUGCUCCUCAUCCUCAGUG
Long non-coding RNA from Melospiza melodia melodia, 182 nucleotides. RefSeq lists it as uncharacterized. NCBI's taxonomy places the organism in Eukaryota, Metazoa, Chordata, Aves, Passeriformes, Passerellidae. The transcript has 4 exons. The record is from RefSeq and is a predicted model, not a curated record.